ACAUCAGCGGGCCAGCUCCUGUCAGGCAGGCGGCCGGCGAUUGGCCGGGAGGAGGCAGUCAUUCAAACUGCCUUUUGUGUUUGGCUAAUCAGGGCAGCCCAGGUUCCCAGCGGAGGUGCGUCUGUGGUGUCAGACACCUGUGUCUCAGCUCUGUCUUCCUCGGGCUAGCUCCUGCGGAUCCUUCCUGGGCAGAACCGUGCCUCUAGGCCACCUCCCCCAAGCCACCAAGCCCCCGCGGUGGGCCAGCCUUGGCCCAGUGUCACGCAGGACAGAAAUGACCAACAGAUAACUGAGGACAAUGGACCUGCCUGGGCAUAGACUUCCUUAAGGGUCUCGCUUUGUCACCCAGCCUGGAAUGCAGUGGUGCGAUCUUGACUCACUGCAGCUUGGAUCUCCUGGGCUCAAGCGAUUCUCCUGUCUCAGCCUCCCGAAUAGCUGGGACUACAGCCUCUCCCCACCUGUCACUGUUAGCCUCGAGUUUGACCCUCAACAUCCCCAGAGGA
This 503-nucleotide small RNA is filed under the name Pan troglodytes (chimpanzee). Its description in RNAcentral is "processed transcript". Lineage: Eukaryota; Metazoa; Chordata; Mammalia; Primates; Hominidae. The record is from RNAcentral.